CUCUCGCGCUAAGAUUAGCCCAGGUGGGAUUAGCUAGUUGGUGAGGUAAAGGCUCACCAAGGCAACGAUCCCUAGCUGGUCUGAGAGGAUGAUCAGCCACACUGGAACUGAGACACGGUCCAGACUCCUACGGGAGGCAGCAGUGGGGAAUAUUGCACAAUGGGGGAAACCCUGAUGCAGCCAUGCCGCGUGUAUGAAGAAGGCCUUCGGGUUGUAAAGUACUUUCAGUCGUGAGGAAGGCAUUGUAGUUAAUAGCUGCAGUGCUUGACGUUAGCGACAGAAGAAGCACCGGCUAACUCCGUG
Molecule: ribosomal RNA, 303 nt
Filed under: uncultured bacterium
Lineage: Bacteria
Description: bacterial SSU rRNA
Rfam family: Bacterial small subunit ribosomal RNA
Source: RNAcentral